This 253-nucleotide ribosomal RNA is filed under the name uncultured bacterium. Its description in RNAcentral is "partial 16S ribosomal RNA". It matches the Rfam family "Bacterial small subunit ribosomal RNA", at positions 524 to 776 of the family's 1533-position model. The record is from RNAcentral.
UACGUAGGGGGCUAGCGUUGCUCGGAAUCACUGGGCGUAAAGCGCACGUAGGCGGACUCUUAAGUCGGUGGUGAAAUCCUGGAGCUCAACUCCAGAACUGCCUUCGAUACUGAGAGUCUCGAGUCCGAGAGAGGUGAGUGGAACUGCGAGUGUAGAGGUGAAAUUCGUAGAUAUUCGCAAGAACACCAGUGGCGAAGGCGGCUCACUGGCUCGGUACUGACGCUGAGGUGCGAAAGCGUGGGGAGCAAACAGG